UCCUGGUUAGCUCAGUUGCUAGAGCACUCCACUGGAAUUGGAGAGGUACCUGGUUCGAUACCAGGACCAGGCG
Molecule: transfer RNA, 73 nt
Filed under: Ixodes scapularis (black-legged tick)
Lineage: Eukaryota; Metazoa; Arthropoda; Arachnida; Ixodida; Ixodidae
Rfam family: tRNA
About the family: Transfer RNA (tRNA) molecules are approximately 80 nucleotides in length. Their secondary structure includes four short double-helical elements and three loops (D, anti-codon, and T loops).
Source: Rfam by way of RNAcentral